Ailuropoda melanoleuca (giant panda) is the source of this 487-nucleotide long non-coding RNA. RefSeq lists it as uncharacterized. The record is from RefSeq and is a predicted model, not a curated record. The transcript has 4 exons. Lineage: Eukaryota; Metazoa; Chordata; Mammalia; Carnivora; Ursidae.
GCCUCGUCCAGCCCCUUCCGCGAGGGGGAGGCGGGGCCUUCAGAGAAAAGAUCGCCCGAGUACGCUGAGGUUUGGACGUUUGGACUUUUGUUGUAAUGCUACGUCCAUCAGACAUUAUGUGGAAGGGAAAGAAAAGAUGCCAACCUUAAUGAGCUCCUACUGUGUGCCAGGCAUUUUACAGACAUCAUUUCUUUACAGCCCUUUGAGGCCUUCAGUACAAUCUGUUAACAGCUACGGGCUUGUGUUAGCACUACAGCGGGCAAAUGACUCAGCACCUCUAGACGGCCGCUUCUUCAUUUGGAAAAUGACCUAUGAAAUAAUCUCCUCCAGAGGUCUGCCUAUGGCACUACUAAAGUCUUCUUCAGGACAGGAAACGUGUUUCUGUUCCUCUUUGUAUCCACCGCACCUAGCUACAAUGCCUGGUACGUUAUAAUCAGUGUUGCUCAUUGAAUGAAUGAGUGAAUCAACUAGAAAAAAAUAAAGCCAG